RNAcentral lists this ribosomal RNA (248 nucleotides) under uncultured Muribaculaceae bacterium. Its description in RNAcentral is "partial 16S ribosomal RNA". It matches the Rfam family "Bacterial small subunit ribosomal RNA", at positions 524 to 771 of the family's 1533-position model. The record is from RNAcentral. Lineage: Bacteria; Pseudomonadati; Bacteroidota; Bacteroidia; Bacteroidales; Muribaculaceae.
UACGUAGGGGGCAAGCGUUAUCCGGAUUUACUGGGUGUAAAGGGAGCGUAGGCCGGGUUUUAAGCGUGCCGUGAAAUGUCGGGGCUCAACCUUGACACUGCGGCGCGAACUGUAGUUCUUGAGUACUGGAGAGGCAGACGGAAUUCCUAGUGUAGCGGUGAAAUGCAUAGAUAUCACGCAGAACUCCGAUUGCGAAGGCAGCAUACCGGCGCUCAACUGACGCUCAUGCACGAAAGCGUGGGUAUCGA